This 247-nucleotide ribosomal RNA is filed under the name uncultured bacterium. RNAcentral describes it as "partial 16S ribosomal RNA". It matches the Rfam family "Bacterial small subunit ribosomal RNA", at positions 524 to 769 of the family's 1533-position model. The record is from RNAcentral.
UACGGAGGGUGCAAGCGUUAUCCGGAUUCACUGGGUUUAAAGGGUGCGUAGGCGGCUUGAUAAGUCAUUGGUGAAAGCUCGCGGCUCAACCGCGAAAACUGCCAAUGAAACUGCCAAGCUUGAAUCUGGUUGAAGUGGGCGGAAUACAACAUGUAGCGGUGAAAUGCUUAGAUAUGUUGUAGAACACCGAUUGCGAAGGCAGCUCACUAAGCCAACAUUGACGCUGAGGCACGAAAGCGUGGGUAGC